UGAUUGUAUGCACGCAGCAUCUUCAACGAGUUGGAGUCGCAGGACAAGCUGAAAGUCGGGUUUUGGAACGUAAGAGGUGGAAUACUUAUUGCCGCCGCCGACUCGUUCAGCCGGUUGAAAACACGGCACUCUUACUUACGUCUUGGGGAGGGGCGGGCGGGGCCGGUCCUUUUCAUGUUCAACAUCGUACUCCUGUUCAACUUUUAUGGGCCUCUCAUCUGCAUCGGCGUCUCGUCGUGGCGUCUCAGGCAACGUGAUUACCACGGCCACGGCGCAGAUGAUAGAGGAGCGAACCUGAUGGGCGGGCUGGACUUUUUCUACACCCUGGUUCUUUGUCAAGGUGUGCUCUACUGCUUCUUGCUAUUCCUUGCCUUGUCCGAGAUCAUUCUCCAACUUAACUUCUCCCGGCAAUGCAAGUUCCUAGACGUGUGGGGCACGAACAGAGUAGAUGCAUACCUCCGGGACACACGAGAGAGAUGCGAGCGGGACCCUGCUGUGCUUGCUGCUGAGGAGCCGAGCUUCCUCAUCCACGCAGUUAGGCUGCUGGAGUCUGAGUCGCAGCAAGACUACCUCUCUGGAGCAAGGAUGCUCUACUUACUCAUCAACGACGGGGAAGAUGCAGGAAGCAUCAUCCUUCGCUCCAGGCCUAAGAUACAGAGGCUGCUCGACAUGCUGGUGUGGACAAGCAGAGCCGGCAACACGGAGAUCAGAAUGCUCGCCGCGGCGAUCGUUGCGGAUCUCGCCGGAGGCAUCCAGCUGUCCCAGUUCCCCGGAGCAAUCCGGUGCGUGUCAUCCUUGCUCGAAUCCACCGGCCAGAACCCACUCUGGAGCAAUGAUCAGCACCAGGAGCUAUCAUCGGCUGAAAUAAAAUGCCUGUACACUGCUUGUAGAAAUGCAGAAAUGGAGAAGAAUUACCGUGAGCUAAUCAGUCGAAUAACAAGGACGACCAAGCUAGAAACAGGCGAUGAGGGAGUAGUUGACGGUGUGGAGCAGAACGGCAACAGUACCGAAGAAGAACUAGGCUGCAACGAGCUCAUCCUGCAGGGCCUCAGGAUUCUCGAGGGCCUCGCCUGCGACGCGCACAACUGCACGGACAUCUGUGGUGAUCCGGACAUACUCGCCAAGAUCACGGCGCCGCUCUACUCGACCUCGCUGAUCCAUGACAUCGGCAGCAGUGAGCCGUGGGCCGACGUAGUGAACGGCUCGCUCAAAGUGGUGCGCAAGCUCCUCAUCCACGCCACUCCUCGCACAAGCCUUCGCCAUGAAAUCCUUUCUAACGAACAGGCGAUGAGCAACCUGGAAAGCAUUCUUCAUCUUCAAAGCAAAGCAGCCGAAGCUGUCGGCCAAGAACUGCAGAUGCGAGCCAUGGAGAUCCUCACCCAGCUAGUCUUCCAUUCUUCUUCUGUCAACAUCAUCAGUGAAAAAAGAGUAAAAAGCCUCGUCAAUAAGCAGCUGGAGAUCUUCCUUCCUCACGGAGGGGAAGGAACUGAAGAUAACAAGUCCAAGAGUGAAGCUGCUGAUAGCAAGAGGACUCUGAAGGCUACAGCUGGGGAGACACUAGUGUCAAUCUUGUCUAAGUGUGACGAAGCUACCUCUAUGUUUAUAACAAAAGAACAUGAUGAUGUAGUCGAUCGUCUCACUGGGAUGCUUGAUGCCAAGUGCAACAUCAGGUACAGAAUAUUGUCAGCUAACAUCUUGGAGAACCUUUGUACCCGCUGCAAUGAACACGUCAACGAAACUUUGCUGCAAAAGGUCCUCACUGAAAUACUGAGAACACCCACAACUGAAGCAUCAGAAAGCACCACUUCUGCACCGGGAGGCAAUGUAGAGAUCCAGAAAAAAAAAUCACAGGGGAACGACGUGGAGAAGCAAAUGCAAUGUUCAAAUGCAUCUCAAGGCAAAAAGGAAGAUCAAAAAGCAAAUGUUAGUUCCAAAAAAGAAGGUCAGCAAGCAAAUAUUAGUUCCAAAAAACAAGAUCAGCAAACAAAUGAUAGUUCCAAAGAAGAAGAUCAACACGCAAAUGAGGACGACAAAGCCGAUAUGAAGGAACUGCUGGAAGCUCAGCUAUCCCUGACCUUGGUGUUACGUGAACAAUUGUUCCGUGCAGAAAGCUCUACUCCUGUGAUCCAAGAGAAUGACCCAGAUGACGAAUUCGUGAAGAAGCUCAGGACUAUUGUAGACGACAACUGCAGUCAGGCGACGCCUGUUUCUCUCAGGAUCAUCAAGCUCUGCAGCCAGAUUGUUGCAUCGAUUAUGCGGCGCAGCGGCUGCGCUAGCGAUGAGAGAAAGGGAUUCGUGGAGUCAUUUUCCAAGGCUUCGAAAGCCAUGUCUAACCUUGAAAGCUGCAUGCUUUUCGCUGGGGCUGACAGUGAUCUGAAGAAGACGGCCAGGCCUCUCCUCUCUGUUCUUGAGACAGAACUGAAAAGGCUUGCUGCCUAA
This 2439-nucleotide long non-coding RNA is filed under the name Oryza sativa Indica Group (long-grained rice). RNAcentral describes it as "lncRNA OsLima_11g0006120". The record is from RNAcentral. Lineage: Eukaryota; Viridiplantae; Streptophyta; Magnoliopsida; Poales; Poaceae.